RNAcentral lists this ribosomal RNA (254 nucleotides) under uncultured bacterium. RNAcentral describes it as "partial 16S ribosomal RNA". It matches the Rfam family "Bacterial small subunit ribosomal RNA", at positions 524 to 776 of the family's 1533-position model. The record is from RNAcentral.
UACGUAGGGGGCGAGCGUUGUCCGAAGUUACUGGGCGUAAAGCGCGCGUAGGCGGUUCUUUAAGUCCGGCGUGAAAGGUUCAGGGCUCAACCCGAACAGUGCGCUGGAGACUGGAGAGCUUGAGGACGGGAGAGGGAAGCGGAAUUCCGGGUGUAGCGGUGAAAUGCGUAGAUAUCCGGAGGAACACCGAUGGCGAAGGCAGCUUCCUGGCCCGUAUCUGACGCUGAGGUGCGAAAGCGUGGGGAGCGAACGGG